Molecule: ribosomal RNA, 445 nt
Filed under: uncultured bacterium
Lineage: Bacteria
Description: partial 16S ribosomal RNA
Rfam family: Bacterial small subunit ribosomal RNA
Source: RNAcentral
GUGAGGAAUAUUGGACAAUGGGCGCAAGCCUGAUCCAGCCAUGCCGCGUGCAGGAAGACGCAUCUAUGGUGUGUAAACUGCUUUUGUACGGGAAGAAACACUCCCUCGUGAGGGAGCUUGAUGGUACCGUAAGAAUAAGGAUCGGCUAACUCCGUGCCAGCAGCCGCGGUAAUACGGAGGAUCCAAGCGUUAUCCGGAAUCAUUGGGUUUAAAGGGUCCGUAGGCGGUUUAAUAAGUCAGUGGUGAAAGCCCAUCGCUCAACGAUGGAACGGCCAUUGAUACUGUUAGACUUGAAUUACAAGGAAGUAACUAGAAUAUGUAGUGUAGCGGUGAAAUGCUUAGAUAUUACAUGGAAUACCAAUUGCGAAGGCAGGUUACUACUUGUGGAUUGACGCUGAUGGACGAAAGCGUGGGGAGCGAACAGGAUUAGAUACCCGGGUAGUCC